Molecule: long non-coding RNA, 9089 nt
Filed under: Olea europaea (common olive)
Lineage: Eukaryota; Viridiplantae; Streptophyta; Magnoliopsida; Lamiales; Oleaceae
Description: long non-coding RNA (OEUR_LNC005303)
Source: RNAcentral
GAAAGAAAAAUUCUCCUUUCCCUCGAUUUUUCCGUCCGUUUUCUCAAGGAGAAAUCUGCUGUAGUAUUUACUUACCCUGUAUUCCCCUGUUUUAUUUAGCUGAAAUUGUAUUACACCAGUUUUAUAUGAAUGAAACCUGGGCAUUAUAAAUUUUUUCCUUGUUUCAUACGUUUGAAACCAGUACAAUUUUAAUCAAAACCAUAAUCUUAGAAAACAAAAUUCAAUUCCUACCACUCCCAUCAAUAUGCUGAUUACUGAACGGAUGGAUAAAAUACCCAAGUUAUUGGCACCUGUGUAGAGGCUUGAGAUCUGGUAAAAACUCCAGAGCUUUGCAUUGAAUUUGAAAGUAUCGCUUCUUGUACUUUCCUUUUUCUUCUCCUCCUUCAUUUCAACAUAUUUUUUCUGUAGGAUAUACUUGUGCUGUUUUCCACAAAAGAAUGUAAGAAAAAAAAUUUCGUUUGAAAUCUGUGUGGUUUCUAUUUUUUUUUUUCCAGUCCCUAGUGCGGGGUAAAGAUUGUGUGGCUUUUUCUAAGAUAGGUGGUAGUGGUACCUGAAUGGUGAGCAAUUAAAUCGGUAGCUUUUAUCCUGAAUUUAUAUUGGACCAAGUGAAUAUACAUUCGGCACAUAAAAGAGGGAUUGAUGAUUUCAUGACUUUCUUAUUCACAAAUGUUUUUCAGAUAUUUUGACCAAAUCUUGUGUCUGGAUAAAAACUUGUACAAACGUUGGUACCAUGCACAGAUGUACAUGUAAAUAUGUAUACUCAGCAUUUGAAUUUUUUUAUAAUUUUCAUAUGAAUUAUAUCUUCUUGUCAAAUAUAAGUAGCACACCACAUGCACGUUGUAUGCACACGAUAUGCACACUACAUAUUUGCAAUGUCCACCACUUCAUGAUGGAAAACAAGAACAUAAACCGGAAAACUGAAAAUGUCAUAAAUAAAUAAACCCAUCUGCAAUAACAGAGAGGCAAUCUCAAAUGAAAAACUAGCAUAAACCACAUCAAGACAAGAAAAAAGUCAAUUUGAAAUUUACCAUAUCACUAUCUGACAAUUACAUCUGUCUCUUUAUAUUCUGCAGCAUUGAUGUGCAAAAUUAUAUCCAUCGAUAUCUUAAAAAUUAAAAUUACAUCAAUUAUGAGUUGUGCACUUAAAAGACAAAUCUGGGCAUGUUCAUAAUGUUUAACAGUGCACAGUUAAAGUUCAUCAUCUGUUGCAUCUCUCGAGAGAAUUUGCAAAAGGACAAACCAAACUAUGGGAAGAACGUUCAGAUAGAGGACCAUACCGUGUGCAUCAACUCCAGAAGCAGAGACAGUGCACCGUUGUUUGGUUUACCACUCCAGAAGCAGAGGCGGUUGAAAUUCUUUGAGUCGUAACACAACUUGCUUCACUGUAGGCCAAGCAGAAUAUGAUUCAAGGGUACAAAUGUAAGUGUUAUGCCCUAGAUCCAAUUGAUUUAGGUUGUAAACGCUUUUAAUAUAUUUAAUGCAUUUGAUUUUGGCGAGAUCUAUUAUUUAUUUAAAUUAAUUUUGUAAUAAAUAAUAUUAAAUAAUAGAGUCCGAAGACCCAAUUUUUAGGUAAUCUGUUAAUCACAAGGAGUUGUGAUUGUGAGAUACAAAUUACAUAUAAUUGGAUCUUGAAUAAACCAUGGUCGUAAGUAAUAACGAGAUACGGAUAUCGUUAAUACAGUUAGACCAUCACGUGUGGCAUUUCUUACUUAUGAAGUAAGUAGCUGAUCUCACGAGCUAAAGUGUGGUGACACUUAAAUGAACAUGUGGAUGUUUUGUUGUAGAACAAAACAUUGAACACCCGCUAAGAGAUUCCACAUGGAUAACUAUCUGAGUGUCAGUGGCUAAUCUCUAACGUUCGGUAGUGGGAUUGAUCCUUUGACUUGAGGUCGUCAUAGUACCCUAUAUGAGGACAGUCAUACUUUGGCGGUGUUGGAUAUUGCUCCGAAAGGGGCCGCUAAUACGACAUCGUUCGGGUACGUCAAGAAUCGUAUGAAGGUUGUGACUGAUCAAUAAAGGAUUCGUUACUCUUAGAUAGUAGGAGAUGAUCUGCGUUUCAUUCAAUUAAGUCGAUGAUGAAAUCCUUGGCCAAGGUGUACUCAUAAGUCGAAAAGGAGUUUUCGAUUUAUAUUGACUUAUUAGUGGAAUGAAAGAUAUGAUCGAUGAUCGAGAUUGACACAAUUCCAUAUCUCGUAAUUGAUCGGAUCGUAUUGACGAAGGGAUAAUAGUUCCAUGAUAAACGAACGAUUUUGGUUUUGUCAUACCACGUGACAUUUCCCGUCACAUGUAUUGCCCUGACACAUUGCUAAAUGUCAAUCAAGGACGGCGAAUGUGAAUUGACGAUAAAUUAAAAGGGUGUAUUAAUUUAUCGAUUUUGAUUAGAUCAAAAUAAUAUUUCACGACGUUAGGCAUCGUGGUCGGGAACCUAAUGGGUCGCACACAAAAGAGAAUUGGAAGAGUGCAAAUUGUUAAUUGAUUAAUUUAACAAUCGUUGGAUAAAUUAAUUAAUUGAAUUUCUUAUUUAUAAUCCCAAAUUAAUUAAUUGGAUUAAUUAAUUCACAGACCGGGUUUGAUUAAUUGGAUUAAUUAAAUAUUGGACCCGACCGGGCCGGGUCCGUUUGGGUUUAUAUAUAUAUGCAGCUAGGGUUUGAGGUCCAUUAAGUUAUUCAUUGUUCUUGCUAGCACAAGAAAGAAAUCCUAGCAGUUGCUGUUUUCUCUCUGUGUGGAUUUCAUUGGAGGCUGCACAAUUGGACAGCUGUGGGAGGCAGAUUCAAGCUGCUGGAAAGGAAUAACGCGAAAGAGUUUGCAAAUCACACAAAAGGUAUAUUUCUCAUCACAGUUUUUAUCUAAAUACAAAGCUGAAUCCUGAAUGGGAAUUGAAAUUUGUUAAAUUCCGCUGUGCAUGUUUAAAUCAAUUCCCAACAACAAAGAAUAGCCACAUGCUGCAUUUUCACGAGGUCAUCCUGUAAGCUCAACUCUGAUAGAAUCAAGAAGAAAAAAAUCCUCGGCCUGACCUCGUUUGAGUAAUGAGUAAGCCCAUGAAACAAUCUUGAAUCCAUCUUCCUGUAAACAAAAUGAAGGGUCAGGAGCUUUGUUGUUGGACAAUAACUCAAACAGCACAACACCAUAGAUGUAAACAUCAGCCUUAUUGGAUACAACACUUGUCUGCGCGUACUCUGGAGUUUUGUAUUCGCAAGUUCUGGCUACACGAGUAGUAGCAUGAGUUUGGGUAGUCUACAUAAUUCUGAGAAUCCAAAGUCUGACAAUAAGCAUUAUAGUCGUCCAAUAAAAUAUUACUGGGCUUGAUUUCUUGAUGUAAAACAUGUGGAUUGCACUGGUCGUGCAGAUAAGAUUAUGCUUAGGCAAUAUAGAGGGCAUUCUUGUGAACUAUUCUCGAAUCGAAAGAUCUUUUGUCUAUAAGAGGAAAAUUUCCACUCGAAUGGCAUAGUACCCUAUCAAUGUAAUGAGGCUUGGGUGUUUGAUUCUUCCGAGGGUCCAGACCUCAGCAUGGAACUGAGGGAUGCCUCAUGGGUAGCCAAAUGUCAAUAAUUUUAGAUAAAUAUGUUGGAUAUUGGUUAAAUAAAUCGAGAAUUGAAAAUCGAUUAAAGUGACUUCGUAUCGACUUCGACCAAAUACUCAAAAGCUCGACUCAAUCCGUUUAGGCAAAAUUGUUUGCCACUUCGCCGCUUCGGGGCGCACAAACGGGGAUCGACCUCGGCCAAAUACUCAAAAGAGAAUUUUGAUUUCUUUGCAUGUAUUGAAGGGUAUAUUUGGCAUUUCGAAAACCAAUAUCGGAUGAAUGAGAAAUUACGGAAAAGAACGAAAAUCAGGUCAAAAUAUUUGACCGUGCGACCGCAUGGUUGGUAAACUGCGCGAUCACACGUCAAAUUCAAUUCCGAUUUUUUGAGUAAAACCGUGCGACCGCACGGUCUAUAACCGUGCGGCCGCACGGUUGUCCGGUGAAUAGACACCUUGUCAUAAAGGUGCAUUGUUUGGAAAGGGUGCAUGGUUUGGCCUCAACCAUUCCGUCCACACUCUUUCAUGGUCUAUAAAUAGGACCCUUUGGGUGUCCUAUUCCUCACAGUUUGAUAUGCAAAACAUCUCUCAUCCUCUCUUCUAUCCAAAAUAAAAAUCAUUUCAUUUAUUUUGAUUUUCCUUCAUUUCAUCCUUGGAGUACAUAAGCCUAAAUUUGGUUCGUUGUACUUGUGUUUUGGAGUGCUACAAACACAAGUGUAGCCGUUAUAUCUUGGGAGUCGAUUGCCGAAAUCCGUAGGCACCGUUGCGGGGCAAAUUCGACUUAAGGACAAAGAGUCCAACUCUUGCCUCGACUUUGUCCCUACUUUCUUCUUCUUCUUCUUAUUUAUGUUUUCUUUGUCGUUACUCUGUCCAAUUUUCGGCACGAAUUUACAAACCAUCAUUAUACUUAUUUUGGCGUCACUAUUCACAAAAUUCCUCCAAUAAAAUACAUAUAGAAAUUCAUAAGAUAUCAAUAUAUAGGUGGGAUAAGUUGAGUAUUACCGGAAAACCAGAUCUUGAUUCAAAGUAUCCAUCAUAAGGGCAGGUUAGACUACCAUUUGUUAUGUAUGAGGGAAAGUAUUGACAUCAAUUAUGCACUCACCAAUAAAAUUCAUAUUAUCUCAGUCCCACAGAUCAAUGCAAAAUGCAUUAAAUGUGUUUCAAGCAGCUGUACCGGACAGCAGGGACGGAGUUAGGAAUAUUGUCCAGUAUGGGCAAAUUUCUAAGUAUCAGACAGCAUUUUUAUUUAUUUAUUUUUUUUUUUUUGCCAAAAUUAGUCCAUGAAUGAAAAGAACUUCACGUGAUCUUGAGAAUUCUUGAUGCAUAAGGAAACAUAAGAUUUUAAACAACUGCAAUAAGGUUUUUAAAUCACAAAACUACAAUGAUUUUGAUUCAAUAUUCAUAUUAAGAUGGAGACGAAUUCCCCAAAAAAAUUUAAAGGUUUGAGAUCAGGGAUGAAAUGGGGAAAGAUAAUUUGUGAUUUAAUCUGGAUAUGGGCUCUGAAUGUAGAGGUGUGAGGAUUUGAACGGAGUGUACACCCAGAUCAUUUAAAAUUAAAAGGGUAUUUUGUUCCAGCCAAUGUAUUAUUUUCUUCCAAUUUAACAUAAAUGUAUAAGAGUAAUUAUAUUACCACUACAAACUUUAUUAAGUACACUACAUUUUUCUUAUUUGCUAAAAUAUCCUUAAGUAGAAUUACAUAAUUAGGGUUUGAUAUACUUUUUAAUUAAAAAAAAUUAUUGUUACUCCAGGAAUAUAAAACCUAAUUUCUUUCUUUUUCCUUAACAUCUCAUUGCUCAUAGUUUUUCCAGAAACACGUGCCUUCUUCCACGAUGGCAAGGUAUUUUUCUUUUCCUCACAGUAAAUAAAUUUAUACUCUGUUUGACCACAAUUUACAGAUGAAUUUUUUCAAUUUAUUUAUCAUGUUUAAAAAUUAAGAAUCUGAUUUUUUUUUUAAGUCAAACAAAUUUAUUAUGAAUUUAAAACAAGUAUGUAAAAUUAUGAUUUUUAAUUGUUAAAUGGGUUUAUGAAUUUUAUGCAUAUAUACUCAUCAUUUCAUGAACUGCAUGCAUUUAGGGCCUGAGACUUACCCAGGGGACGUAUUCAUAUGUACUAUACCAUUACCAUAAAUUUGAAUGCAUAUAGGUAAAUGAAUUUGUGUAUAUGUAGGUCUGUGAGUUUCCGUGGAUUUUUGUGUAUGUAGGUCUAUCAAUUUUCGUGAAUUUGUGAAAAUAUGGGUAUAUGAAUUUCCAUGCAUGCAUUAUCUUUUGUCAACAUUAUUGUUGAGUAGAAUUGUAUUCUAACUAAAUUAUGAUAUUUAGUUUAAUGCAAAUGGAUGUAGCUAUUGACACUACGACUUCAUCUGAAUUCUCGAGAGUUUUUAAUCAACAAGAAGUAAGUUUUUCUUGUUAUGUUGUAUUUUUUUGCUUGAACAUAAUAAAUUUAAUUUUUUAUAAGUUAUCAUAAUUUAAUUUUAUUUGUCCUAAAUGUCAAGAAAAUGAUGACGACUUCAAUAUAUAAGAUUAUACACAAUACUUUUGACCGAGUAUAAAUAAAUCAAUUAUUAAAUUUAUGUCUAUUAAUUCAACUCUUGGUGCAAUUUUUUUAAUUAUAAUUUUUUAAUAUUGAUUGUGUAGGUAUUCAAUAGUCGAGAGUCGUUAUGUAAUUAAGUUUGUAUGGUUGGGAAGGAACUUGGUCUAGUUAUUGUUAUAAUACAUUCUGAGGUUGGUGGUUAUGGAUGCAAGCCUUGUAUACGCUAUGGGUGUGAGCAUCGUGGAAAUAUAGAAAACAUAAAGAUCAUUCCGGUCAUGAAUAAGCGAAAGAGGUUUGUUGGAACACAUAAGUGUGAAUGCUCAUUUGAUCUAAAUGGUGUGAAGUUGUCGAUUGAGGACGCUUGGAUUUUAAAGGUAUUAUGUGGACCAUAUAAUCAUCUAGCGGCAAAAUAUUUAAGACAUCCUUAUGUACAAAGAUUAAUUAAUAAAGAGGAGUGAUAUUUUAAUCGAUAUGUCAACAAGUUUGAUAAAACCUAAGAACAUAUUAAUGACUUUGAAAGAACGGGAUCCAAAUAAUGUUAGCACAAUGAGGACUAUUAAUUACAAUGCAUGUGCAAGGCAUAGAUUGAUUGAAAAUGGGAAGUGGGGGGGGGAACAUAAAUGCAACAUGAAAUGAGCAAGUUAAAAGAACACAAUUAUAUCAAGUGGCAUAGGUCUCAUGAAGAAUGGAUGAAGUUAGAGACCUUUUCUUUGCACUUUCGAUAUUUGUUGAUUUCUUACAUGCAUUUUCAUGUAUGCUUAUAAUGGAUUAUACCCCUCUUUUUGAGAUCAUUGGGGUUCCUUCGCACAAAUGACAUUUUUUUUUUUUGUUUUCGUGUUCAUGGAAGCUGAACAAUAAGAAAAUUAUAGUUAGGUAAUGGAAAAGUUGAAAACCUUAAUGAAUUAUGAUGUCUUGCCACAUGUGAUUGUCACAGAUAGGGAACUGGCUCUUAUUCCUGCAACUGAAAAGAUUUUACCUAACGCCAUAAAUCUACUAUACACAUGGCACAUAUCGAAAAAUGUAUUGGCCAAUACCAAGAAGUUUUUUGAGUGAAAAGAAGUAUGGGAUACUUUCCGUAGGAUUUGGAGCGUACUUGUUGCAUCUACUAUGGAGGAUGUAUAUGAACAAUUGGCCAAAACUCUAUCUUUCCGAUUUGAACAUUUUUUUAUGGCAUUAGAUUAUGUUAUGGGACCUUGGUUGUGUAAAUAUAAAGAGAAAUUAAUUGCUACUUGGAUGAAUAAAAUUAUGCACUUUGGUAAUGUCACAACUAACUAGUAAAAUGUGUAACGCUUAUAUUUAAUUUUAUUAUCAACAUUAUUUAUUUUUUAAUAGGCAAACAAAUUAUUGUCGAUUUAUCUAUUUAUUUAUAUUAUUCACAGGGUUGAAAGUGCACAUUCUAAGUUGAAGAAGAACCUUGGAUCAUCACAAGGCGAUUUUGAAACUUUACGAAAAGUUGUGCAUCACCUAUUGGAAUUGCAAUCCAGUGAAAUAAAAGCUUCAUUUGAAUGAAGCAUGAAUUUAGUUCAACAUAACUUCAAACGUAGCCUUUAGGAGUUGGGUGGUUUCGUGUCCAACAAUGCAAUGGAUCUUACAUCAUGACAGUCAAAUCAAGCAUAACAUAUUGGUUUGGACAAAAAUGUUUGUCAAUGCACUCUUAGAUCCAUACAUGGUUUGCCAUGUUCGUGUGAGAUUUCAGAAUACAUAAUUACAAGUCAUCCCAUUCCUCUGUCAAUUGUUCACCCUCGUUGGAGAAAAUUAGAUAUUUUGGUUCCAUUAAAUGAUACAUAUUCCAAGUUGAACAUUUUAGUUGAAUUAGGGAACAUUCAAAGAUUUUUUAGCAAAUGCGACGAUGCAGGUAAAGUACUUCUUAAAAUGAAAUUACAAGAAAUGUAUGAACCCUCCACUACUUCUUUGAAAUAGCCUGCUGGGAAAGUUAAAACCAAGGGCUGACAUUCAUCAAUAGUUGAUACUUCAACAAAAAGAGGUCCUCUGUAUUUUGCAGUUGUUGACUCAAAUAACGAUAGCCAUUUUGCAAAAACAACAACUCUAUCAAAGUUCCAAAGAAGGAUAACCUUAAAGUAAGGCGCACACAUAUGAAUACUUUAUACCAUUAUAUAAUUUGUUUUCAUGACAAAGUCAAAGAUUGCACAUUUAACAUUGUUGAUGUUAAGUCCAAUGGUCAUUGUGGUUUUAGGGCAAUAACUAGUUCCUUGGAUUAGGAGAGGAGGCAUGGUUACAUAUUCGACGAGACCUUAUUACUGAAAUGAAAUCUAAUUAUGAUGCAUAUGUAAAACUAUAUGGCAGCAUUAAAAGGGUGAAGGAGUUGUUAUAUAGUAUGGAUUACUUUAAUAUUGGUGCCCCGUUUGAUUGAUGGAUGACGAUGCCUGACAUGGGCCAUUUGUAGCAUCUCAGUAUGGUAUCAUAUUUGUCCUUCUAUCUUUUAUACAAUAUUUGACAUUCCUACCAUUGCACAUUCAAUCUCCUCUACCAUUAAAUCAUAAAAUUAUAUCAUCGGGUUUUGUGAAUGACAAUCACUUUGUUCAGGUACUUUGUUUUAAUUAAUUGACUAUAUAUCAUUAGUAUAAACUUAUUGUUACUAAUUUGAUUUAUCACUUGUACAGGUCAAGUUAAAGCCCAAUUGUCAAAUUCCACCUGAGGCAUAUAAUUGGUAUAAAUAUAGAGACGACAUUGCAAGUGGAUGGGAGAGUACGUAUAAAUUAGAAUACAAAUUCAAAGAGAUGAUUGGUAUUGGUAUUGAUAUCACAUAAGAGGUCAAAAGAGGAUUUUGAUGAACUUCUUGCACUGCUAGAGACUUAUUCAAUUUGAUUAUUUCCUUCUUUCUUGUAAUGAAAAUUUCGCAACAUGUCCAAUAUAUCAAAAAUAUGUCAUAAAUGCUUCCUCAAGUUGGGUUUUGAAUGUUUCUGAUGAAUUAAAGGUGGAAGGUGAGAGGGAAAGGGUGGUUCAACAUUUUCACUGUGAAAUUAUUCUUGGUUGAAAAUCUGAUCUUGUAUUUAUUCUUGGUUGAAUAUCAUUUUAUUACUCUG